Molecule: unclassified non-coding RNA, 257 nt
Organism: Cercocebus atys (sooty mangabey)
Lineage: Eukaryota; Metazoa; Chordata; Mammalia; Primates; Cercopithecidae
Rfam family: Metazoan signal recognition particle RNA
About the family: The signal recognition particle (SRP) is a universally conserved ribonucleoprotein. It is involved in the co-translational targeting of proteins to membranes.
Source: Ensembl
GCCAAGCGCUGCACGCAAUGCUGUAGUCCCAGCAACUCGGGAGGCUGAGGUGGGGGGAUCACUUGAACCCAGGAGUUCUGGGUUGUAGUGCACUAUGCCAAUCUGUUGUCCACACUAAGUUAGGCAUCAAUAUGGUGACCUCCCAGGAGCAGGGGACCACCAGGUUGCCUAAAGAGAGGUGAACAGGCCUAGGCUGAAAAUGCCUGUAAAUAGCCACUGCACUCCAGCCUGGGCAGCAUAUCUAAAACAAAAUUAAU